UCGCAGCCCGGCUUGAACGGAGCUCUUUUUGUAAGGAGGAACGACGAGCAAAAAAGCGGGAGUGGAAGACGGAAAUAGC
Molecule: unclassified non-coding RNA, 79 nt
Filed under: Chryseobacterium taihuense
Lineage: Bacteria; Pseudomonadati; Bacteroidota; Flavobacteriia; Flavobacteriales; Weeksellaceae
Description: Flavo-1 RNA
Source: RNAcentral